GAGUAGGGGGAACAGCACAGAGAUCCCCCUCCUCCAGCCAAGCCUUUUGGGCCACUGAGGAGCUGGCACAUACCGGCGACCAACAAGGUGCCACCCGGCACACAUUGAGCCCUUCCUCUCCUCCUUCGGUCAACACCCACCGCUCGUAAUGCCUCCGAGCCCUCCUGCUGCCUGCGCCGGCCUCCAGCCCAGCGACCCCCACACGCAGGACGGGAGCAUCCCAGGGGGAUCUGUGCACAACGUCCCCACGCCGCCCAGCCUGCCUGGUCCCAUCUGUAACCCCUGGGGGUUAUUCCUACGUUGUCCUGAGUUGGGCCGUUCCCCAAAUACACCUGCUCGCCCUCAUGCUGCCUCUGCUGCCUAGCUCUGCCUACAGCUUGGGUGAUCCGGCUCCACAGGGCACAGAGACCACAGCCUGCCCCUGCUUGCACCUUUUUUGGAGGGUCUAAGGCCCAUCCUCUGGAGUCAGACACCAAAGGAGGGUGUUUGCUUUGGAUUUCUAAAGCAAGUUUCUCACCAUCCUGACGGCAGUGGAAAAAAAAAGAAUCUCAGGAGGUGGGAUGGCCCUAAUGCUCUAAACCUGGAAAUAAAUCACCUGAAAAAAACA
Molecule: long non-coding RNA, 607 nt
Organism: Grus americana (Whooping crane)
Lineage: Eukaryota; Metazoa; Chordata; Aves; Gruiformes; Gruidae
Exons: 2
Source: RefSeq, a predicted model, not a curated record